This 538-nucleotide ribosomal RNA is filed under the name Lycogala sp. RNAcentral describes it as "partial small subunit ribosomal RNA". It matches the Rfam family "Eukaryotic small subunit ribosomal RNA", at positions 1 to 382 of the family's 1831-position model. The record is from RNAcentral. Lineage: Eukaryota; Evosea; Eumycetozoa; Liceales; Enteridiidae.
GACCGAAUAGUGUCCUCCUGCUCCGGAGAUGUAAUCUCGCUGCCAGAAUUCAUAUGCUUGUCCCGAAGACUCAAGCCAUGCAUGCCUAGAAGAAAAAUUGACGCCCUACUGGUGCUGCGGGCCCUCCCAGGCUCGUUAGUGCCGACCGGGAUUGUUAAGGAAUCAGCGAACGGCUCCGCAUAUCUGUUGUCACCUAUCGUGGUAAAUACGGCGUGGAUAGAGCACGGAAAAGCUGUGUAUAACACAGAACAGUGGGGUCACCGCUGCCCGUUGGCAUGGGCAGUGGGGAUAAGUGGGCCCAUACGUAUGGGCCCCACCUCAUGAACGGCUCUUAAAGUAGUACAGGGACUAAAGACCCCUGGACGAAACAGAGGCCUCUGCCUCGGACAUGUCUACCGACUGCCUUGACCGGGGUUGGUCUUGUCUGAGCGCGGCAGAGCCCAUCCACAAGCGCACGAUGGACUUCAGACCUAUCAGCUAGACGGUAGGGUAUUGGCCUACCGUGGCGAUGACGGGUACAGAGGAUUAGGGUUUGAUC